CAUUAUGGCAGGUCGGCGGGCCAGCUUCGGCUGGGCCGUUUCUGUUUUGACGGUUGUGGUAACCCGCUCGGCCUGCCCCCAAA
Molecule: non-coding RNA, 83 nt
Organism: Gynuella sunshinyii YC6258
Lineage: Bacteria; Pseudomonadati; Pseudomonadota; Gammaproteobacteria; Oceanospirillales; Saccharospirillaceae
Source: Rfam